RNAcentral lists this ribosomal RNA (253 nucleotides) under uncultured bacterium. Its description in RNAcentral is "partial 16S ribosomal RNA". It matches the Rfam family "Bacterial small subunit ribosomal RNA", at positions 524 to 776 of the family's 1533-position model. The record is from RNAcentral.
UACGUAGGUGGCAAGCGUUGUCCGGAAUUAUUGGGCGUAAAGCGCGCGCAGGCGGUCCUUUAAGUCUGAUGUGAAAGCCCUCGGCUCAACCGAGGAGGGUCAUUGGAAACUGGAGGACUUGAGUGCAGAAGGGGAAAGUGGAAUUCCAAGUGUAGCGGUGAAAUGCGUAGAGAUUUGGAGGAACACCAGUGGCGAAGGCGACUUUCUGGUCUGUAACUGACGCUGAGGCGCGAAAGCGUGGGGAGCAAACAGG